CAGCAGACCCUUAUGUCAGCCAGGUCUCUUCCUUGUGGGAGCCCAGAGUGCAACAGCUGCAAACAGCAGCCUGCUCGGCAGGUCUAUCCAUCCUGCUACUUCUGCAGGUUGUUCCUAGUGACCUUGGAGACAGCC
RNAcentral lists this small nucleolar RNA (135 nucleotides) under Microtus ochrogaster (prairie vole). Its description in RNAcentral is "Small nucleolar RNA SNORA70 (ENSMOCG00000005733.1)". It matches the Rfam family "Small nucleolar RNA SNORA70". Rfam says of the family: snoRNA U70 seems to be exclusive to mammals and is a member of the H/ACA class of snoRNA which contain H (ANANNA) and ACA box motifs. H/ACA box snoRNAs are involved in the conversion of uridines to pseudouridines (5-ribosyluracil) a constituent of structural RNAs (transfer, ribosomal, small nuclear, and small nucleolar). Lineage: Eukaryota; Metazoa; Chordata; Mammalia; Rodentia; Cricetidae. The record is from RNAcentral.